AAAGUAGCCAGGCAUAAGUGAGGCAUGCCUGUAAUACCAGCUACUCAGGAGGCUGAGGCAGGAGAAUGACUUGAGCCCAAGAGGUGGAGGUUGCCGAGAGCUGAGAUGAUGCCACUGCACUUCAGCCUGGGUGACAGAGCAAGACUCUGUAUAUAUAUAUUUAAAAAGUGGAUGCACUAUAUUUGGGUUUCUAUCCUGUAGUUUUAUAAAAUGGAUCAAGGUUUUAAAAUGUCUGAAUAAAAUUUGCCCUGGACAGCUGCCCAACCUUGACCUGCUCAAUCUCUUCCAGACCUUCUGCCAGAAAGGGGGCCUGUUGUGCACGCUUCAGGGUAAGCUGCAGCCCUAGGACUGGAUGUCGUUGGCCAGACUGCUGCAGGGCCUGCAGACACUACUGCUCAUGGCUCUGUGGCAGGCCUCCCGCCGCCCCCACCACUCCUAUGGCCUCUUCUUGUGCUACCGUGUGGAGGCCCUAACCCUGUGUGGCAUCAAUAGCUUCCGCCAGUAUAAGUAUGACCUGGUGGCAGUGGGCAAGGCUUUGGAGGGCAUGUUCUGCAAGCUCAAUCACCUCCUGCAGCACCUGCACCAGCUGUUCUUCCUCUACCUGCUCCCCACCCUUUCUCGCUUCAUCUCCAUCGGCCUCUACUUGCCUGCCACCGACUUCUUGCUCCUGGUCCUUGGUUUCAAGGCUCUGAAACUGUGGAUGCAGCUGCCUGAGGCUGGAGCAGGUCUUGAGGAGCCCGAGGGGGGUCCCUGGCCCCAGUGUCCCGCCUCCCCCAGCACAGAGUGCUAAGCCCUUAGGUCCCAGACAGGGGCUGGAUGGUGCUCAAGCUGGUAGCCCUGAUCUGCCUAGCACUGCAGCUGGGCUGCAUCAUCCUCACCAGUUUCUCACUGGACUUCUUGCUGGCUGCCACUAUGGUGCCUGCCGCUGCGCUCACCGAGCCUCAUGGGCCCUGGACCCUCUACACUGCCCUGCUGGCGCUGACAAGCCCGGCGGCCACGCUCCCUGGCAACCCAUUCCUGUGGCAGGAGCUGCAGGAGGCACCACUGUCACUGGCCGAAGGCUGGCAGCUCUUCCUUGCAGUACUGGCCCAGGGUGUGCUGGAGCACCACACCUAAGGCGCCCUGCUCUUCCCACUGCCGUCCCUGGGCCUCUACCCUUGCUGGCUGCUUUCCUGGCAUGUGCUCUUCUGGAAGUGAGAUCUGCCUGUCCAAGGCACCAGGCUGGGACAGAGACUCCCCAAGAACCCCAUUCUGCCUCCUUCCGGGGAAAUAAACAAGUGCCUGUUUCAG
Molecule: RNA transcript, 1290 nt
Organism: Piliocolobus tephrosceles (Ugandan red Colobus)
Lineage: Eukaryota; Metazoa; Chordata; Mammalia; Primates; Cercopithecidae
Gene name: glycosylphosphatidylinositol anchor attachment 1 protein pseudogene
Exons: 1
Source: RefSeq, a predicted model, not a curated record